UACGGAGGGUGCAAGCGUUAUCCGGAUUUACUGGGGUUAAAGGGUGCGUAGGUGGGCAGGUAAGUCAGUGGUGAAAUCUCCGGGCUUAACUCGGAAACUGCCAUUGAUACUAUCUGUCUUGAAUAUCCUGGAGGUAAGCGGAAUAUGUCAUGUAGCGGUGAAAUGCUUAGAUAUGACAUAGAACACCCAUUGCGAAGGCAGCUUACUACGGGAUUAUUGACACUGAGGCACGAAAGCGUGGGGAUCAAACAGG
RNAcentral lists this ribosomal RNA (253 nucleotides) under uncultured bacterium. RNAcentral describes it as "partial 16S ribosomal RNA". It matches the Rfam family "Bacterial small subunit ribosomal RNA", at positions 524 to 776 of the family's 1533-position model. The record is from RNAcentral.